Molecule: ribosomal RNA, 701 nt
Filed under: uncultured bacterium
Lineage: Bacteria
Description: bacterial SSU rRNA
Rfam family: Bacterial small subunit ribosomal RNA
Source: RNAcentral
AGAGUUUGAUCCUGGCUCAGAACGAACGCUGGCGGCAUGCCUAACACAUGCAAGUCGAACGAACCCUUCGGGGUUAGUGGCGCACGGGUGCGUAACGCGUGGGAACCUGCCUUUAGGUUCGGAAUAACUCAGAGAAAUUUGAGCUAAUACCGGAUAAUGUCUUCGGACCAAAGAUUUAUCGCCUUUAGAUGGGCCCGCGUUAGAUUAGAUAGUUGGUGGGGUAAUGGCCUACCAAGUCGACGAUCUAUAGCUGGUCUGAGAGGAUGAUCAGCCACACUGGGACUGAGACACGGCCCAGACUCCUACGGGAGGCAGCAGUGGGGAAUAUUGGACAAUGGGCGAAAGCCUGAUCCAGCAAUGCCGCGUGAGUGAUGAAGGCCUUAGGGUUGUAAAGCUCUUUUACUAGGGAUGAUAAUGACAGUACCUAGAGAAUAAGCUCCGGCUAACUCCGUGCCAGCAGCCGCGGUAAUACGGAGGGAGCUAGCGUUGUUCGGAAUUACUGGGCGUAAAGCGCACGUAGGCGGCUUAUCAAGUCAGGGGUGAAAUCCCGGGGCUCAACCCCGGAACUGCCCUUGAAACUGAUAAGCUAGAAUCUUGGAGAGGCGAGUGGAAUUCCGAGUGUAGAGGUGAAAUUCGUAGAUAUUCGGAAGAACACCAGUGGCGAAGGCGACUCGCUGGACAAGUAUUGACGCUGAGGUGCG